RNAcentral lists this ribosomal RNA (441 nucleotides) under uncultured Acidimicrobiales bacterium. Its description in RNAcentral is "bacterial SSU rRNA". It matches the Rfam family "Bacterial small subunit ribosomal RNA", at positions 338 to 795 of the family's 1533-position model. The record is from RNAcentral. Lineage: Bacteria; Bacillati; Actinomycetota; Acidimicrobiia; Acidimicrobiales.
CCUACGGGUGGCAGCAGUGGGGAAUCUUGCGCAAUGGGCGAAAGCCUGACGCAGCAACGCCGCGUGGGGGAUGAAGGCUCUCGGGUUGUAAACCCCUUUCAGCAGGGACGAAUCAAGACGGUACCUGCAGAAGAAGCCCCGGCUAACUACGUGCCAGCAGCCGCGGUAACACGUAGGGGGCAAGCGUUGUCCGGAUUUAUUGGGCGUAAAGAGCUCGUAGGUGGCUGAGUAAGUCGGAUGUCAAAUCCCCAGGCUCAACCUGGGAUCCCAUCCGAUACUGCUCUGGCUAGAGUCCGGUAGGGGAGCGUGGAAUUCCUGGUGUAGCGGUGAAAUGCGCAGAUAUCAGGAGGAACACCAGCGGCGAAGGCGGCGCUCUGGGCCGGUACUGACACUGAGGAGCGAAAGCGUGGGUAGCAAACAGGAUUAGAUACCCUUGUAGUC